Molecule: ribosomal RNA, 252 nt
Filed under: uncultured bacterium
Lineage: Bacteria
Description: partial 16S ribosomal RNA
Rfam family: Bacterial small subunit ribosomal RNA
Source: RNAcentral
UACGUAGGUCCCGAGCGUUGUCCGGAUUUAUUGGGCAUAAAGCGAGCGCAGGUGGUUUAUUAAGUCUGGUGUAAAAGGCAGUGGCUCAACCAUUGUAUGCAUUGGAAACUGGUAGACUUGAGUGCAGGAGAGGAGAGUGGAAUUCCAUGUGUAGCGGUGAAAUGCGUAGAUAUAUGGAGGAACACCAGUGGCGAAAGCGGCUCUCUGGUCUGUAACUGACGCUGAGGUUCGAAAGCGUGGGUAGCAAACAGG